Molecule: small nuclear RNA, 106 nt
Organism: Cynocephalus volans (Philippine flying lemur)
Lineage: Eukaryota; Metazoa; Chordata; Mammalia; Dermoptera; Cynocephalidae
Source: RefSeq, a predicted model, not a curated record
GUGCUCGCUUCGGCAGCACAUAUACUAAAAUUGGAACGAUACAGAGAAGAUUAGCAUGGCCCCUGCGCAAGGAAGUACAUACUAGCCUUCAGUGUGACAUUACUAU